Molecule: ribosomal RNA, 205 nt
Filed under: Staphylococcus aureus
Lineage: Bacteria; Bacillati; Bacillota; Bacilli; Caryophanales; Staphylococcaceae
Description: partial 23S ribosomal RNA
Rfam family: Bacterial large subunit ribosomal RNA
Source: RNAcentral
GAUUAAGUUAUUAAGGGCGCACGGUGGAUGCCUUGGCACUAGAAGCCGAUGAAGGACGUUACUAACGACGAUAUGCUUUGGGGAGCUGUAAGUAAGCUUUGAUCCAGAGAUUUCCGAAUGGGGAAACCCAGCAUGAGUUAUGUCAUGUUAUCGAUAUGUGAAUACAUAGCAUAUCAGAAGGCACACCCGGAGAACUGAAACAUCU